AUUUCUUUUUCUUGAAUCUGAACGAACAAUAAAAACUGCUCUUUGACACCUUGAGCAUAAAGAAAAGAAAAUUUUUUCUUUUCUUUGACAAUUUUCACACUUUCCUUCAGCGUUCACACUACCAUCUCUUCAUAUAUAUCUUUCCUUCACUUUCUACCUCUAUCUUUUUUCCUUUUUCUCUCUUCGAAUUUUGAUCAAAUCAAUCCUUUUUGUGGGUGUAAACUGAUUUAGAUUAGUUUGAGCGUGUGAUUGUUAUGGAGGGACAUCUUCACCACCAACAUCACAAUCAGCAUCACCUACAGCAAUAUCAGCUGCUGCAGCAGCAACAUCACAUCAGUGUAAACGUAGAGGCAAGUGAUAAGUUUCCUCAAUGGAGUAUUCAAGAAACAAAGGAGUUCUUGAUGAUCCGAGCAGAACUGGAUCCAACUUUCAUGGAGAAGAAAAGAAACAAAGUUUUGUGGGAAGUUAUCUCUAAUAAAAUGAAAGAAAAGGGUUAUAAUCGUAGCGCAGAGCAGUGCAAGUGCAAGUGGAAGAAUCUUUUUACAAGAUACAAGGGUUGUGAGACGAUAGAACCUGAAGCUAUGAGGCAACAGUUUCCUUUCUACAAUGAGUUGCAAGCGAUUUUCACAUCAAGGAUGCAAAGAAUGUUACGGGCUGAAGCUGAAGGAGCAGCGACUGGGUUGAAAAAGAAAGCAGUGAAGCUAUCUUCUGACGAUGAGGAUAAGAAUGAAGAAAUUAUUGAGGGCGAAAAGGGUGGCAGUAGAAAGAAGAUAAAAAAGGGCAAGGCAAUUGGUGGAACUAGUAGCAGUGGAAAUAGUAUUAGUUUGAAAGAGUCUUUGGAAGAUUUCACGAAGCAACAGAUUCAAAUGGAAAUGCAAUGGAGAGAAGUAUUUGAGGCAAGGGAAAAUGAGAGGAUGAUGAAGGAGAUGGAAUGGAGACAAACCAUGAAACAAUUAGAGAAUGAUAGGAUAGUGAUGGAAAGAAGAUGGAGAGAGAGAGAAGAGCAAAGAAGGGUGAGAGAAGAGGCUAGGGCUGAGAAGAGGGAUGCCCUUAUCACUGCACUCCUAAACAAGCUUAGAAGAGAAGACAUGUAGUGAUCAGCUUUCUUUCAAUGUUUUUGCUGUUUUAGAGAAGAGUUUUUGUCAUGUGGACGAGCUGGUAGGAUUGGUAAGCCACAAGAUCUGUUCAUGGCUUGUAGAGAAGAUUGUUGGCAGGGAAACGGACACGUUAGGCUUCAUUUGUUUUUCUCCUCCAUCAACAACGUUCAAUCAGGGCCAUGAAGAACAUCCUUUGAAUAAGGAAAUUGAUCAUAUCAUAAAGUUUUGUACAUCAUCACCAUCUCAUAAUUUUGACAAGUUGUGUACUUCAUUACAAGUGCUGUGUUAUUACCAGCUCAUUUGCGCGUGAUUCCAUCUAUGUUUUGAACAUUUGAUCAGAGGCAGACAAGAUGUUUUCAAAUUUGUAGCUGAGACAGCUAGCUAUGCACAAACAUGACCGUGUUCUUGUUCUUGUUUUUUCUUUUGCUUUUGCUGCUGUUAUCAAACAAAAGGAUAUUUUGUAAACCGUGUUUCAGAAUUCAGACAGAAGGUUCUUCUUAUUUUCCCACCGACUUGUCGUGUUUUACUGUUUAUGCCAAUUAUACGUGUAGUCUUGGAACUUGAAAGCACUUGAGAUUACGGCCUCCUUGAGCAUUCGUUCACACUUCAUAUAUAUUAUGGCCAUAAUUUGGAGCCCUCCGUUUGAGAUUCCUCCACUAAGUAAAUUCCUUCAUUUUCUAACAAAUGAAUUUGUAUCAUGAAAAAGAAUAAUAAUUAAAAAACCGUGAAAAAUGAUUGAAAUUUAUCAAAUUCUAAUAAUAAGAUUCAUCCAAAAAAUAAAAUAAAAA
This is an RNA transcript of Populus trichocarpa (black cottonwood), 1885 nucleotides long. It is a transcript of the gene named trihelix transcription factor GT-3b, with no coding region annotated. The transcript has 4 exons. NCBI's taxonomy places the organism in Eukaryota, Viridiplantae, Streptophyta, Magnoliopsida, Malpighiales, Salicaceae. The record is from RefSeq and is a predicted model, not a curated record.